CCUACGGGUGGCUGCAGUGAGGAAUAUUGGUCAAUGGGCGGGAGCCUGAACCAGCCAAGCCGCGUGAGGGAAGAAGGUACAGCGUAUCGUAAACCUCUUUUAUCAGGGAAUAAAGUGUGGGACGUGUCCUAUUUUGUAUGUACCUUAUGAAUAAGGAUCGGCUAACUCCGUGCCAGCAGCCGCGGUAACACGGAGGAUCCGAGCGUUAUCCGGAUUUAUUGGGUUUAAAGGGUGCGUAGGCGGCCUUUUAAGUCGGCGGUGAAAGUGUGGGGCUCAACCAUAGAAUGGCCGUUGAAACUGGUGGGUUUGAGUAUGUGAGAGGCAGGCGGAAUGCGUGGUGUAGCGGUGAAAUGCUGAGAUAUCACGCAGAACCCCGAUUGCGAAGGCAGCAUGCCAGGCCAUGACUGACGCUGAUGCACGAAAGCGUGGGGAUCAAACAGGAUUAGAUACCCGAGUAGUC
RNAcentral lists this ribosomal RNA (460 nucleotides) under uncultured bacterium. Its description in RNAcentral is "partial 16S ribosomal RNA". It matches the Rfam family "Bacterial small subunit ribosomal RNA", at positions 338 to 795 of the family's 1533-position model. The record is from RNAcentral.